RNAcentral lists this ribosomal RNA (499 nucleotides) under uncultured bacterium. RNAcentral's name for it is "bacterial SSU rRNA". It matches the Rfam family "Bacterial small subunit ribosomal RNA", at positions 8 to 507 of the family's 1533-position model. The record is from RNAcentral.
AGAGUUUGAUCCUGGACUCAGGAUGAACGCUAGCGGGAGGCCUAACACAUGCAAGCCGAGCGGUAGAGAUUCUUCGGAAUCUUGAGAGCGGCGUACGGGUGUGGAACACGUGUGCAACCUACCUUUAUCUGGAGGAUAGCCUUUCGAAAGGAAGAUUAAUACUCCAUAAUAUAUUGAUUGGCAUCAAUUGAUAUUGAAAGCUCCGGCGGAUAGAGAUGGGCACGCGCAAGAUUAGUUAGUUGGUGAGGUAACGGCUCACCAAGACGAUGAUCUUUAGGGGCCUGAGAGGGUGAUCCCCCACACUGGUACUGAGACACGGACCAGACUCCUACGGGAGGCAGCAGUGAGGAAUAUUGGUCAAUGGGUGCAAGCCUGAACCAGCCAUCCCGCGUGAAGGACGACUGCCCUAUGGGUUGUAAACUUCUUUUGUAUAGGGAUAAACCUACCCUCGUGAGGGUAGCUGAAGGUACUAUACGAAUAAGCACCGGCUAACUCCGUG